Molecule: ribosomal RNA, 557 nt
Filed under: Agalinis homalantha
Lineage: Eukaryota; Viridiplantae; Streptophyta; Magnoliopsida; Lamiales; Orobanchaceae
Description: eukaryotic LSU rRNA
Rfam family: 5.8S ribosomal RNA (bases 254-409)
Source: RNAcentral
UGACCUGCGGAAGGAUCAUUGUCGAAUCCUGCAAAAGCAGACCGCGAACACGUUAAACCACAUCGGGAUCUUGGGUCGGGGGCAACCCCAACCCUCGCUCCCCCUCCGCAGCGCGCGCGUCUCGGCGUGCGCGGUGCGGCUAACGAACCCCCGGCGCGGCAUGCGCCAAGGAAAACUCAUAGAAGCACCCGCCCCCCGUCGCCCCGUUCGCGGUGCGCGGUGGGGGGAGUGGGUGUCUCUCCAAUGUCAUAACGACUCUCGGCAACGGAUAUCUCGGCUCUCGCAUCGAUGAAGAACGUAGCGAAAUGCGAUACUUGGUGUGAAUUGCAGAAUCCCGUGAACCAUCGAGUCUUUGAACGCAAGUUGCGCCCGAAGCCUUCCGGCCGAGGGCACGCCUGCCUGGGCGUCACGCAUCGCGUCGCCCCCCUCCCCAUCCGCUCGGCAACGUGCGAUCGGGUGGCGGGGGCGGAAAAUGGCCCCCCGUGUGCAGCGCCUCGCGGCCGGCCUAAAUGCGAACCCGUGGCGACUCACGUCACGACCAGUGGUGGUUGAACACU